GAGGUCCAACCUGCCCAGUGACCACAAGUUCAACGGCCGCGGUAUUUUGACCGUGCAAAGGUAGCGUAAUCACUUGUCUUUUAAAUAGAGACCUGUAUGAAUGGUCAAACGAAGGCUUAGCUGUCUCCCUUUUCAAGUCAGUGAAAUUGAUCUACCCGUGCAGAAGCGGGUAUAAUUAUACAAGACGAGAAGACCCUUUGGAGCUUUAGGUACAAAACUCAACCACACCAAACAACUCAAUAAAAAGCAAAAACUUUGUGGAACAUGAAAUUUUACCUUCGGUUGGGGCGACCACGGAGAAAAACAAAACCUCCAAAUGGAUUGGGACAAUUUCCCUAAAACUAAGAGAGACAUCUUCAAGCCUCAGAACAUCUGACCAAAAAUGACCCGGUCACUAAGACCGAUCAACGAACCAAGUUACCCCAGGGAUAACAGCGCAAUCCCCUCCUAGAGUCCAUAUCGACGAGGGGGUUUACGACCUCGAUGUUGGAUCAGGACAUCCUAAUGGUGCAGCCGCUAUUAAGGG
This 526-nucleotide ribosomal RNA is filed under the name Garra ceylonensis (stone sucker). RNAcentral describes it as "partial 16S ribosomal RNA". It matches the Rfam family "Bacterial large subunit ribosomal RNA", at positions 1849 to 2571 of the family's 2925-position model. Lineage: Eukaryota; Metazoa; Chordata; Actinopteri; Cypriniformes; Cyprinidae. The record is from RNAcentral.